This 1343-nucleotide ribosomal RNA is filed under the name uncultured bacterium. RNAcentral describes it as "16S ribosomal RNA". It matches the Rfam family "Bacterial small subunit ribosomal RNA", at positions 28 to 1378 of the family's 1533-position model. The record is from RNAcentral.
GACGAACGCUGGCGGCGUGCUUAACACAUGCAAGUCGAACGGAAAGGCCCUGCUUUUGUGGGGUGCUCGAGUGGCGAACGGGUGAGUAACACGUGAGUAACCUGCCCUUGACUUCGGGAUAACUUCAGGAAACUGGGGCUAAUACCGGAUAGGAGCUCCUGCUGCAUGGUGGGGGUUGGAAAGUUUCGGCGGUUGGGGAUGGACUCGCGGCUUAUCAGCUUGUUGGUGGGGUAGUGGCUUACCAAGGCUUUGACGGGUAGCCGGCCUGAGAGGGUGACCGGCCACAUUGGGACUGAGAUACGGCCCAGACUCCUACGGGAGGCAGCAGUGGGGAAUAUUGCACAAUGGGCGGAAGCCUGAUGCAGCAACGCCGCGUGCGGGAUGACGGCCUUCGGGUUGUAAACCGCUUUCGCCUGUGACGAAGCGUGAGUGACGGUAAUGGGUAAAGAAGCACCGGCUAACUACGUGCCAGCAGCCGCGGUGAUACGUAGGGUGCGAGCGUUGUCCGGAUUUAUUGGGCGUAAAGGGCUCGUAGGUGGUUGAUCGCGUCGGAAGUGUAAUCUUGGGGCUUAACCCUGAGCGUGCUUUCGAUACGGGUUGACUUGAGGAAGGUAGGGGAGAAUGGAAUUCCUGGUGGAGCGGUGGAAUGCGCAGAUAUCAGGAGGAGCACCAGUGGCGAAGGCGGUUCUCUGGGCCUUUCCUGACGCUGAGGAGCGAAAGCGUGGGGAGCGAACAGGCUUAGAUACCCUGGUAGUCCACGCUGUAAACGGUGGGUACUAGGUGUGGGGUCCAUUCCACGGGUUCCGUGCCGUAGCUAACGCUUUAAGUACCCCGCCUGGGGAGUACGGCCGCAAGGCUAAAACUCAAAGGAAUUGACGGGGCCCCGCACAAGCGGCGGAGCAUGCGGAUUAAUUCGAUGCAACGCGUAGAACCUUACCUGGGUUUGACAUGGAUCGGGAGUGCUCAGAGAUGGGUGUGCCUCUUUUGGGGUCGGUUCACAGGUGGUGCAUGGCUGUCGUCAGCUCGUGUCGUGAGAUGUUGGGUUAAGUCCCGCAACGAGCGCAACCCUUGUUCACUGUUGCCAGCACGUUAUGGUGGGGACUCAGUGGAGACCGCCGGGGUCAACUCGGAGGAAGGUGGGGAUGACGUCAAGUCAUCAUGCCCCUUAUGUCCAGGGCUUCACGCAUGCUACAAUGGCUGGUACAGAGAGUGGCGAGCCUGUGAGGGUGAGCGAAUCUCGGAAAGCCGGUCUCAGUUCGGAUUGGGGUCUGCAACUCGACCUCAUGAAGUCGGAGUCGCUAGUAAUCGCAGAUCAGCAACGCUGCGGUGAAUACGUUCCCGGG